This 2052-nucleotide ribosomal RNA is filed under the name human gut metagenome. RNAcentral describes it as "bacterial LSU rRNA". It matches the Rfam family "Bacterial large subunit ribosomal RNA", at positions 1 to 1980 of the family's 2925-position model. The record is from RNAcentral.
UAAAGCUACAAAGAGCUAAUGGGGAAUGCCUUGGUACUGACAGCCGACGAAGGACGUGUAAAGCUGCGAUAAGCCACGGGGAACUGCUAAAAGGUCUUGAUCCGUGGAAAUCCGAAUGGGGAAACCCUCCAGAGUUAAAACUUUGGAACCCGUAACUGAAUACAUAGGUUGCGCGGAGGAAAGCCUGUGAACUGAAACAUCUUAGUAACAGGACGAAGAGAAAAUAAACCAAUGAUUCCGAGAGUAGCGGCGAGCGAAAUUGGAAGAGCCUAAAUUGUGUGUACGUGAUAGCCUGCAAGCGUUGUGCACAUGAGGUUGUGGGACUUGCAUCAUAUUUUGCAGAAUAUGGAUUGAGUUAGAAAAUUAUUUAUUAGUUAAAGUCAACUGGGAAGUUGCGCCAUAGAGAGUGAUAGCCUCGUAAACGACAAUAAAUAAUCUCAAGUAAGUAUCCCGAGUAAGGCGGGGCACGUGAAACCCUGUCUGAAUCCACCGGGACCAUCCGGUAAGGCUAAAUACUAGUCAGUGACCGAUAGUGAACGAGUACAGUGAUGGAAAGGCGAAAAGAACAGUGAGAAGCUGAGUGAAAUAGACCCUGAAACCGUUAGCUUACAACCAGUCAGAGCACAAUUAAUUGUGUGAUGGCGUGCCUGUUGAAGAAUGAGCCGGCGAGUUAUUUUUUGUUGCGAGGUUAAGGAGAUUAUAUCCGGAGCCACAGGGAAACCGAGUCUGAAUAGGGCGUUAAGUAACAGGAAAUAGACCCGAACCUUGGUGAUCUAACCUUGACCAGGAUGAAGCGUGGGUAACACUACGUGGAGGUCCGAACCAACCGAUGUUGAAAAAUCGGUGGAUGAGUUGAGGUUAGGGGUGAAAUGCCAAUCGAACCAAGAGCUAGCUGGUUCUCCCCGAAAUGCGUUUAGGCACAGCGUUGGAUUUAUCUUGCAGGAGGUAGAGCACUGGUUUUGUGCGGGCGUCGAAAUGAUGUACCAAACAAUGUCAAACUCCGAAUACCUGUAAUGUCAUUAUCCAGCAGUGAGGCUAUGAGUGAUAAGAUCCAUGGCCAAGAGGGAAACAGCCCAGAACGCCAGUUAAGGUCCCUAAUAUAUGCUAAGUGGUUAAGGAGGUAGAGUUACUGAGACAACCAGGAGGUUGGCUUAGAAGCAGCCAUCCCUUGAAAGAGUGCGUAAUAGCUCACUGGUCAAGUGACUCCGCGCCGAAAAUACACCGGGACUAAAGCAUAUAACCGAAGCUGCGUCAUAUAGUUUACUAUAUGGGUAGGGGAGCGUACUGUAGUAAGACGAAGCUAGAGUGAAAACACUAGUGGAUGAGGCAGUAGUGAGAAUGUCGGCAUAAGUAGCGAAAACAUUGGUGAGAAUCCAAUGCACCGAAAACCUAAGGUUUCCCACGGCAGGCUCGUCCGCGUGGGGUUAGUCGGAUCCUAAGCUCAGGCCAAACGGCGUAGGCGAUGGACAAUAGGUUGAUAUUCCUAUACUAUCUGAUAAUCGUUAUCAGAAGCGGAGGGACGCAAGAGGAUAAGCACGCAGUCGAAUGGAAGAGACUGUAUAAGCGUGUAGCUAGGUUUGACAGGAAAAUCCGUCAAAUCGUUAAUGUGAGGCGUGAUGUGGAGAGUCUACGGACUCGAAGGUGUUGACUCCAAAUUGCCAAGAAAAUCUUCGCUCUCGAGAUUAUUGGGUAUCCGUACCGUAAACCGCCACAGGUAGGUUGGUAGAAAAUACUAAGGUGCGCGAGACAACUCUCGCUAAGGAACUCGGCAAAAUCACCUCGUAACUUCGGGAGAAGAGGUACCCUGGUAGCGUGAAGCGAUUUACUCGUGAAGCGUGAUAGGGUCGCAGUGAAUAGGCCCAAGCGACUGUUUACCAAAAACACAGGUCUCUGCUAAGUCGAUCAAGACGAUGUAUAGGGGCUGACGCCUGCCCGGUGUCGGAAGGUUACGCGGAAAUGUUAGAAGCAAUUCAAAGCAUCGAAGCUAAGCCCCGAUGAACGGCGGCCGUAACUAUAACGGUCCUAAGGUAGCGAAAUUCCUUGUCAGGUAAG